GCCCACUACGGCGAUGGGGCUCGCCGUCGACCGCCCGGCUCGCCCGGGCUGAUAGCUCCUACCAACCG
RNAcentral lists this non-coding RNA (68 nucleotides) under Pseudonocardia sp. RNAcentral's name for it is "Fluoride sequence". It matches the Rfam family "Fluoride riboswitch aptamer (crcB RNA motif)". Lineage: Bacteria; Bacillati; Actinomycetota; Actinomycetes; Pseudonocardiales; Pseudonocardiaceae. The record is from RNAcentral.